Molecule: long non-coding RNA, 790 nt
Filed under: Homo sapiens (human)
Lineage: Eukaryota; Metazoa; Chordata; Mammalia; Primates; Hominidae
Description: HSALNT0394089
Source: RNAcentral
CACUUUUCUUUGUGCAUUCACACGAUGCAUUUUCUUUUCUUAUCACCAAACUGUUUUGAAAGAUAAAAGUACUUCCUGAAUAUGUGGAUGGUGAGCCACGUGAAUGGAAGACAUGGAGAUAUGGACUGUUAACACCUUGUCAAACAUUUAUUGUCCCUUCCACCUCUAAACUUCUGUGAUAAUAGGUGAACAGGACCCACGUGGUGCAGAAUACUGCGAUACACACUGCGGAAUAAUUCAGAAUAUUGUAGUUAUCUCCUACUUAGAAGUCUCUGUAGCCCCAAGAUGCCAGAUAUUGCAUCUGCAGAAAGGAAAAUUGAAAUCAACGUGCCCAGUGGGUCCAGAACUUGACAGCCUGACAGCAAAUUGUAGCCUUUAGCUUUUGCCUUGAGUUAUUGUAGGCAGGAACAUCAGUGGGAGAGUGUGUGUGUUUUCUCUUUCACAACACAAUUUAUGGAGGUGGUGUGAUUGCCACAAUGAACAUGUUUGAAUGGGUGAUUUAAACAAUUUUCCAUAUGAGAAUGAUGGCUGUGAGUGUUAAGCAUGUUGAUGAUUGCAUAUUUUGUUUGCUUUCAUCAAAAGUUCCUUACAAAUUCACUAGAGAAGGAGCAUCGACAGGAUGCAGGAUAGGAAACAGAUUGUAUAUAUUAUCAAGGUAAUGAUUACCAACACAUACUUCAAAAAAUAAAAGUGUAAAAAGCACUAAAUAUGUCACAAAUAACUCUUGCCUAAGUGUUUUGUGGAAUGGGUCAGAGCAAAAACAAAGCAAAAGAACAAAUACAUGAGCAAA